This 386-nucleotide long non-coding RNA is filed under the name Salvia miltiorrhiza (redroot sage). RNAcentral's name for it is "long non-coding RNA (SMIL_LNC010991)". The record is from RNAcentral. Lineage: Eukaryota; Viridiplantae; Streptophyta; Magnoliopsida; Lamiales; Lamiaceae.
GAAAUGUCACUCAUAGAUAAAAUGCUAGGAUCAUAUAUGAUUAUUUGGAUACUUAUAAAACAUACACAUAAAUGAGAACUGAUUAAGAUGGGUUACCCAAUAACACGUAUAACAACUUCAUAACAUAGAGCUAUCCUAAUCAAAGUGUUUUGCAGCGGAAAACGUGUGAGAUAUACAUAUGAAGAUGUAUACUCAAGGUUACAUUUCUUGAAAUGUCAAAGGAACACCCGCUCAACAUCAUUCCAUUCCAUCAACUGCUCAACCUGCACAUUUAGAAAUACAUGCAGGGCUGAGUAUAAAAAUACUCAGUGGGCAUAGCCGAAAAUACAUUCAUGCAUACAUAUAUAAAUUGAACUGCCAUAACAGUAACACACAGGGGUUUUCUU